This is a non-coding RNA of Octopus bimaculoides (California two-spot octopus), 114 nucleotides long. Lineage: Eukaryota; Metazoa; Mollusca; Cephalopoda; Octopoda; Octopodidae. The record is from Rfam.
GUUGGUUACGGUGACAUGUACCCGAAAAGCUCAUUUGGCUACAUCAUCGGGUCCCUGUGUGCCAUUUCCGGUUUGCUUAUGAUUGCUUUUACGGUACCCAUUAUUGUGAGUAAC